RNAcentral lists this unclassified non-coding RNA (289 nucleotides) under Hevea brasiliensis (rubber tree). Lineage: Eukaryota; Viridiplantae; Streptophyta; Magnoliopsida; Malpighiales; Euphorbiaceae. The record is from RNAcentral.
UUCCAUCCAAACCAUAGAUUUUAUGAUUCAUGCUCAAAAUUGUCCAUCAAGUCUACUGUUAAUGGAGUCCACAUGAACUUUAAUGGAUCCAUCAGCAAGUCAACUUAGGUAAGUUAUUUGGGGUAUGGGUUCAAUGCUACAACAACAUUGAUACAACAGAAGAUGCAAGACAUACUUUCACAUUGACAAAAUGCUGCAUUAUGCAAUUUGAAACUCUGAUUCUUUUUCAAUUUUAAGAUGCAAUUUAAGAACCCGUAGACACCUUAAAGUUCAUCAUGGUAAUCGUCAU